Molecule: ribosomal RNA, 455 nt
Filed under: uncultured Rhodocyclaceae bacterium
Lineage: Bacteria; Pseudomonadati; Pseudomonadota; Betaproteobacteria; Rhodocyclales; Rhodocyclaceae
Description: partial 16S ribosomal RNA
Rfam family: Bacterial small subunit ribosomal RNA
Source: RNAcentral
CCUACGGGAGGCAGCAGUGGGGAAUCUUGGGCAAUGGGCGCAAGCCUGAUCCAGCCAUUCCGCGUGAGUGAAGAAGGCCUUCGGGUUGUAAAGCUCUUUCGGCAGGAACGAAACGGCGGACUCUAACAUAGUCUGUCAAUGACGGUACCUGAAGAAGAAGCACCGGCUAACUACGUGCCAGCAGCCGCGGUAAUACGUAGGGUGCGAGAGUUAAUCGGAAUUACUGGGCGUAAAGCGUGCGCAGGCGGCUUUGUAAGACGGAGGUGAAAUCCCUGGGCUUAACCUAGGAACUGCGUUCGUGACUGCAAAGCUAGAGUGCGGCAGAGGGGGGUGAAAUUCCUGGUGUAGCAGUGAAAUGCGUAGAGAUCAGGAGGAACACCGAGGGCGAAGGCAGCCCCCGGGGUUGGCACUGACGCUCAUGCACGAAAGCUUGGGGAGCAAACAGGAUUAGAUAC